RNAcentral lists this ribosomal RNA (421 nucleotides) under uncultured bacterium. Its description in RNAcentral is "bacterial SSU rRNA". It matches the Rfam family "Bacterial small subunit ribosomal RNA", at positions 355 to 774 of the family's 1533-position model. The record is from RNAcentral.
UAAGGAAUAUUGGUCAAUGGACGCAAGUCUGAACCAGCCAUGCCGCGUGGAGGAUUAAGGCCCUCUGGGUUGUAAACUCCUUUUAUCUGGGAAGAAAUGUACUUUUUCUUGAGUACUUGACGGUACCAGAGGAAUAAGCACCGGCUAACUCCGUGCCAGCAGCCGCGGUAAUACGGAGGGUGCAAGCGUUAUCCGGAUUCACUGGGUUUAAAGGGUGCGUAGGAGGGCAGGUAAGUCAGUGGUGAAAUCUCCGGGCUUAACCCGGAAACUGCCGUUGAUACUAUUUGUCUUGAAUAUUGUGGAGGUAAGCGGAAUAUGUCAUGUAGCGGUGAAAUGCUUAGAUAUGACAUAGAACACCAAUUGCGAAGGCAGCUUACUACACAAUCAUUGACGCUGAGGCACGAAAGCGUGGGAUCAAACA